Small nuclear RNA from Nomascus leucogenys (northern white-cheeked gibbon), 103 nucleotides. NCBI's taxonomy places the organism in Eukaryota, Metazoa, Chordata, Mammalia, Primates, Hylobatidae. The record is from Ensembl.
GUGCUUCAGCAGCAUGUAUACUAAAAUUGGAAUGCUACAGAGAAGAUUGGCAUUGUCCCUGUGCAAGGAUGACACACAAAUUUGUGAAGCGUUCCAUGUCUUU